This 943-nucleotide long non-coding RNA is filed under the name Triticum aestivum (bread wheat). RNAcentral's name for it is "long non-coding RNA (TAES_LNC001830)". The record is from RNAcentral. Lineage: Eukaryota; Viridiplantae; Streptophyta; Magnoliopsida; Poales; Poaceae.
AACUACAAUUGACAUCACUGUUUAAUUAUUACGAUAAUUGCAUAAAAAAUUGACUUUCCAGGUCACGCGAGAGACCACCACUGAAAUCGACUCUAUCACAUCCAUCUUCGCAAUUACAAUUACACAUGACACAACAAAACCUAAAAGCGUCAGCCAGCUGCCACGACACUGAACCCAAGUCCUUCGAGAAGAAAAUAAUAACCCGAACCAGCUCUACACUACUAGCUACACAACACGAUCCACAGCUCCUGAACCCAAAACUUCAGUUUCAUCUUCUUGUUCGACCUCUACUUCUAAUUUGGUUGGAAUGUACUACCACGGCAAAAGUUGAAAUAUUACCCGACGGCUACCUGACCAUGCAUGCUUGCCAUGUCCAAGCGGCGGCCAAGGAGCAGGGGCAGCAGGGCACAUGGUACAACGAUCCUGGCUUGUACCAAGUCACCCAAAUGCCAUCCAAAACCUGACGAGGCUAACACCUGGUAUAUACGUGCGUUUGGGAAAACUCUGCAUCCGAACCCCGAUCGAUCGAUCUAGGGGCAUCAGAUUUGUGCGGGUUAAUCCUCACUAAGUUUUCUCUAAUCUGCAUUGGUUUCGGAAGCUUGCAGACCGAAUUACACGAGACCUGACGAACAUGUUAGUGGAGGCUGCUAAGGAGGAGGGGUCUGACGGAUGCCGCGUUCAUUCAGAACGGCUUCUGCAGGUACGUGAGCAUGUCCCCGAACGCGGCGGCGUCGCGGGCGAAGGCGCCCGGCGACGGCGGGUCGAAGAUGAGCGAGCCGUCGAUGACGAACCCGUCGUCUUCUAUGACGCCGCCCCAGUCGUCGCCCGGCCACCCCGCGGCGAGGCCGGCCGCGUGCUGGCUCUCCGCGUAGUCCAUAUCGCUCGGGAAGUCGGGCGAGGGCGAGGACAGCGCGCGCUCCGAGGAGCUGGAGUCCGUGUGCAG